AGCAUGUGUGUUAGUGGAAGCGUCUGGAAAGGCGCGCGAUACAGGGUGACAGCCCCGUACACAAAAGCGCAUGUGCUGUGAGCUCGAUGAGUAGGGCGGGACACGUGGUAUCCUGUCUGAAUAUGGGGGGACCAUCCUCCAAGGCUAAAUACUCCUGACUGACCGAUAGUGAACCAGUACCGUGAGGGAAAGGCGAAAAGAACCCCGGCGAGGGGAGUGAAAAAGAACCUGAAACCGUGUACGUACAAGCAGUGGGAGCACCCUUUGGGGUGUGACUGCGUACCUUUUGUAUAAUGGGUCAGCGACUUAUAUUCUGUAGCAAGGUUAACCGAAUAGGGGAGCCGGAGGGAAACCGAGUCUUAAUUGGGCGUUAAGUUGCAGGGUAUAGACCCGAAACCCGGUGAUCUAGCCAUGGGCAGGUUGAAGGUUGGGUAACACUAACUGGAGGACCGAACCGACUAAUGUUGAAAAAUUAGCGGAUGACCUGUGGCUGGGGGUGAAAGGCCAAUCAAACCGGGAGAUAGCUGGUUCUCCCCGAAAGCUAUUUAGGUAGCGCCUCGUGAAUUCAUCUCCGGGGGUAGAGCACUGUUUCGGCUAGGGGGCCAUCCCGGCUUACCAACCCGAUGCAAACUGCGAAUACCGGAGAAUGUUAUCACGGGAGACACACGGCGGGUGCUAACGUCCGUCGUGAAGAGGGAAACAACCCAGACCGCCAGCUAAGGUCCCAAAGUCAUGGUUAAGUGGGAAACGAUGUGGGAAGGCCCAGACAGCCAGGAUGUUGGCUUAGAAGCAGCCAUCAUUUAAAGAAAGCGUAAUAGCUCACUGGUCGAGUCGGCCUGCGCGGAAGAUGUAACGGGGCUAAACCAUGCAC
Molecule: ribosomal RNA, 871 nt
Filed under: Salmonella enterica
Lineage: Bacteria; Pseudomonadati; Pseudomonadota; Gammaproteobacteria; Enterobacterales; Enterobacteriaceae
Description: partial 23S ribosomal RNA
Rfam family: Bacterial large subunit ribosomal RNA
Source: RNAcentral